GAUGAACGCUGGCGGCGUGCCUAAUACAUGCAAGUCGAGCGAACAGAUAAGGAGCUUGCUCCUUUGACGUUAGCGGCGGACGGGUGAGUAACACGUGGGUAACCUACCUAUAAGACUGGGAUAACUUCGGGAAGCCGGAGCUAAUACCGGAUAACAUUUGGAACCGCAUGGUUCUAAAGUGAAAGAUGGUUUUGCUAUCACUUAUAGAUGGACCCGCGCCGUAUUAGCUAGUUGGUAAGGUAACGGCUUACCAAGGCAACGAUACGUAGCCGACCUGAGAGGGUGAUCGGCCACACUGGAACUGAGACACGGUCCAGACUCCUACGGGAGGCAGCAGUAGGGAAUCUUCCGCAAUGGGCGAAAGCCUGACGGAGCAACGCCGCGUGAGUGAUGAAGGGUUUCGGCUCGUAAAACUCUGUUAUUAGGGAAGAACAAACGUGUAAGUAACUGUGCACGUCUUGACGGUACCUAAUCAGAAAGCCACGGCUAACUACGUG
This 497-nucleotide ribosomal RNA is filed under the name uncultured bacterium. Its description in RNAcentral is "partial 16S ribosomal RNA". It matches the Rfam family "Bacterial small subunit ribosomal RNA", at positions 28 to 507 of the family's 1533-position model. The record is from RNAcentral.